This 1355-nucleotide ribosomal RNA is filed under the name uncultured bacterium. Its description in RNAcentral is "bacterial SSU rRNA". It matches the Rfam family "Bacterial small subunit ribosomal RNA", at positions 28 to 1381 of the family's 1533-position model. The record is from RNAcentral.
AUUGAACGCUGGCGGCAGGCCUAAGACAUGCAAGUCGAGCGAGAAAGCCCUUCGGGGUGAGUACAGCGGCGGACGGGUGAGUAACGCGUAGGAAUCUACCCAGUAGUGGGGGACAACUAGUGGAAACGCUAGCUAAUACCGCAUACGCCCUAAGGGGGAAAGCGGGGGAUCUUCGGACCUCGUGCUAUUGGAUGAGCCUGCGUAAGAUUAGCUUGUUGGUGAGGUAAUGGCUCACCAAGGCGACGAUCUUUAGCUGGUCUGAGAGGAUGAUCAGCCACACCGGGACUGAGACACGGCCCGGACUCCUACGGGAGGCAGCAGUCGGGAAUAUUGCGCAAUGGGGGAAACCCUGACGCAGCCAUGCCGCGUGUGUGAAGAAGGCCCUAGGGUUGUAAAGCACUUUCAAUUGGGAGGAAAAGCUAAUGGUUAAUAGCCAUUAGCCCUGACGUUACCUUUAGAAGAAGCACCGGCUAACUCCGUGCCAGCAGCCGCGGUAAUACGGAGGGUGCAAGCGUUAAUCGGAAUUACUGGGCGUAAAGCGCGCGUAGGCGGCUCUUUAAGUCGGAUGUGAAAGCCCCGGGCUCAACCUGGGAACUGCAUCCGAUACUGGAGGGCUAGAGUGUAGGAGAGGGAGGUAGAAUUCCAUGUGUAGCAGUGAAAUGCGUAGAUAUAUGGAGGAAUACCAGUGGCGAAGGCGGCCUCCUGGCUUAACACUGACGCUGAGGUGCGAAAGCGUGGGGAGCAAACGGGAUUAGAUACCCCGGUAGUCCACGCCGUAAACGAUGUCUACUAGCUGUAGGGGUACUUGAGACCUUUGUAGCGCAGCUAACGCACUAAGUAGACCGCCUGGGGAGUACGGCCGCAAGGUUAAAACUCAAAUGAAUUGACGGGGGCCCGCACAAGCAGUGGAGCAUGUGGUUUAAUUCGAUGCAACGCGAAGAACCUUACCAGGCCUUGACAUCCCCGGAACUUUCUAGAGAUAGAUUGGUGCCUUCGGGAACCGGGUGACAGGUGCUGCAUGGCUGUCGUCAGCUCGUGUCGUGAGAUGUUGGGUUAAGUCCCGUAACGAGCGCAACCCUUGUCCUUAGUUGCCAGCACGUAAUGGUGGGAACUCUAAGGAGACUGCCGGUGACAAACCGGAGGAAGGUGGGGACGACGUCAAGUCAUCAUGGCCCUUACGGCCUGGGCUACACACGUGCUACAAUGGCUAGGACAGACGGCUGCAAACCAGCGAUGGGGAGCUAAUCCGACAAACCUAGUCGUAGUCCGGAUUGGAGUCUGCAACUCGACUCCAUGAAGUCGGAAUUGCUAGUAAUCGCGAAUCAGAAUGUCGCGGUGAAUACGUUCCCGGGCCU